ACCAGGGGCUAUACCACUCUGCAACUCACUGAAGCUCAGCAGGUGUGAGCCUGGUCAGUACCUGGAUGGGAGACCUCCUGGGAAAGCUAAGGUUGCUGCUGGAA
This 104-nucleotide ribosomal RNA is filed under the name Lepisosteus oculatus (spotted gar). Lineage: Eukaryota; Metazoa; Chordata; Actinopteri; Semionotiformes; Lepisosteidae. The record is from RNAcentral.